This 472-nucleotide ribosomal RNA is filed under the name uncultured bacterium. Its description in RNAcentral is "bacterial SSU rRNA". It matches the Rfam family "Bacterial small subunit ribosomal RNA", at positions 328 to 793 of the family's 1533-position model. The record is from RNAcentral.
GCUCCAGACUCCUACGGGAGGCAGCAGUGGGGAAUCCUCCGCAAUGGGCGAAAGCCUGACGGAGCAACGCCGCGUGAUCGAAUGAAGGCCUUCGGGUUGUAAAGAUCUGUUGACAGGAACGAAUAAGCAAUGCGAAUAGUUUUGUGUAUGACGGUACCUGUUUAGAAAGCUCCGGCUAACUACGUGCCAGCAGCCGCGGUAAUACGUAGGGAGCAAGCGUUGUCCGGAAUUACUGGGCGUAAAGGGCGCGUAGGUGGGCGCUUAAGUCAGGUGUGAAAACCACGGGCUCAACCUGUGGCCUGCAUUUGAAACUGUGUUUCUUGAGUACUGGAGAGGCAGACGGAAUUCCUAGUGUAGCGGUGAAAUGCGUAGAUAUUAGGAGGAACACCAGUGGCGAAGGCGGUCUGCUGGACAGCAACUGACGCUGAGGCGCGAAAGCGUGGGGAGCAAACAGGAUUAGAUACCCGAGUAC